GGUAGUGUAGUCCAAUGGAAAUGGCUUGGGAUUCAGAAUCACAGGACCUGGGUUCAAAUCCCAGUCUUACCA
Molecule: transfer RNA, 72 nt
Filed under: Monodelphis domestica (gray short-tailed opossum)
Lineage: Eukaryota; Metazoa; Chordata; Mammalia; Didelphimorphia; Didelphidae
Rfam family: tRNA
About the family: Transfer RNA (tRNA) molecules are approximately 80 nucleotides in length.
Source: Rfam by way of RNAcentral